UCAGAAAGCGAAAGUGAAAAUAGCUUUCUGUAGUCUACAAGUUUUGUAACUUUAGAAGGGAAGACAACAUUCAUACAAAGGUAUCCUACACCUCCCGAGCUAGAACAUCAACCUUGUGAGCUAGAAUGGCAUCUGGUCCGGAAUCGGGGUCUUCUUCUGUCCAUUCCAUCAACAUCUCAGCCCAGAAUGGGGCCAGUGUCAACACUCCCAUAAUGACUGGUAACACCAUUGGAGCAAUCCAUUAUCAUACAGUCCCUUCGCCUGCAGCAUCCCAGCACACCAGCCCCUCAUCAGGCCAUGAUUUCCUGAAGACACACAAGACAGCUCUAGAGACCAGGAUGGGCAACCUUCGUCCCAUCCUUAGCGCUCUCGAGCACCUUGGGGUUCUGAGUGGGGAGGAUAGAGAGGAGGUGGACAUCAAAACCACACAGACCAAGAAGAACGAAGCUCUGCUGACAAUGAUAAUUAAGAAAGGGAAAACUGCGCAGGAACAGUUUUACCAGGCCCUGAAAAAAGCAGACCAUCUCCUGGUGGAAGACCUGGAGGGAUAGACUACCUCCUAAUACACUGCCAUAUCCAUAAUUGCCAAUUCCAUUCCGUUAUGAAAUAAGACCAAAUGUUUAGGAAUAAAUCAUGCGAAUUAGGAUAGUUUAUUUAAAUGUCAAUAUAAUAUGAAUUAGAAAUUAAAUGCCAAUGACAUUGUCUUAUCUGUCAUACCAUGAAUCAAUAAACAUGUUCUUGUGUCUAGGGCUGAGGUGGCCCUAGCUGCACUGCAGAUAUAUUUUGAUUCCAUAUAUGAUUCCACAGGGGCAGGUGAUCCCUGUGGAUUUGAUAUUACCCCUAUUCAUUACAUGAACCAAGGCCUAAUAGUGGACUAUUUCAGCUUCCUCUGGCUGUGUGUCGUUGCUUACAUUUUCUUGUUUUAUUUGUUUAAAUAACGUAUGCUGUAUAAUAUAAACAGUGCCUUCAGAAAGUAUUCACAUCGCUUUACUUUUUCCACAUUUUGUUGUGUUACAAAGUGGAAUUAAAAUGGAUUUAAUUGUAAUGUUUUUGUCAACGAACUUCACAAAAGGCCAGGCAACAACUCUCAGGUCAGAGACCUAUAUGUGUAUGUGGGCUCUGGUAUGAUUUCCAAACCCGUAGGGAUCAGUGUAAGGAUCAUCUUUGGUAACAAUCAACCCCACUCUCUGUAUAGAAUUGGACCCCAUUUCAUAUCAAUGUCAGUAAAAAAGAUACAUCCUG
Molecule: RNA transcript, 1242 nt
Organism: Coregonus clupeaformis (lake whitefish)
Lineage: Eukaryota; Metazoa; Chordata; Actinopteri; Salmoniformes; Salmonidae
Gene name: caspase recruitment domain-containing protein 8
Exons: 3
Source: RefSeq, a predicted model, not a curated record